UGGGGAAUAUUGCACAAUGGGCGAAAGCCUGAUGCAGCGACGCCGCGUGAAGGAUGAAGUAUUUCGGUAUGUAAACUUCUAUCAGCAGGGAAGAAAAUGACGGUACCUGACUAAGAAGCCCCGGCUAACUACGUGCCAGCAGCCGCGGUAAUACGUAGGGGGCAAGCGUUAUCCGGAUUUACUGGGUGUAAAGGGAGCGUAGACGGCUGUGCAAGUCUGAAGUGAAAGGCAUGGGCUCAACCUGUGGACUGCUUUGGAAACUGUGCAGCUAGAGUGUCGGAGAGGUAAGUGGAAUUCCUAGUGUAGCGGUGAAAUGCGUAGAUAUUAGGAGGAACACCAGUGGCGAAGGCGGCUUACUGGACGAUGACUGACGUUGAGGCUCGAAAGCGUGGGGAGCAAACAGG
This 404-nucleotide ribosomal RNA is filed under the name uncultured bacterium. RNAcentral's name for it is "bacterial SSU rRNA". It matches the Rfam family "Bacterial small subunit ribosomal RNA", at positions 355 to 776 of the family's 1533-position model. RNAcentral also lists the same sequence under 1 other name. The record is from RNAcentral.